Molecule: transfer RNA, 52 nt
Filed under: Oreasteridae sp. ICML-UNAM-18241
Lineage: Eukaryota; Metazoa; Echinodermata; Asteroidea; Valvatida; Oreasteridae
Description: partial tRNA-Ala
Rfam family: tRNA
About the family: Transfer RNA (tRNA) molecules are approximately 80 nucleotides in length.
Source: RNAcentral
AAAACAUUUGACUUGCAAUCAUAAAACCUAAGUUUAACCCUUAGAACUCACA